Molecule: ribosomal RNA, 256 nt
Filed under: uncultured bacterium
Lineage: Bacteria
Description: partial 16S ribosomal RNA
Rfam family: Bacterial small subunit ribosomal RNA
Source: RNAcentral
UACGUAGGUGGCAAGCGUUGUCCGGAUUUAUUGGGUUUAAAGGGUGCGUAGGCGGUCUUAUAAGUCAGUGCUGAAAUAUCCCGGCUUAACCGGGAGGGUGGCAUUGAUACUGUAGGACUUGAGUAGAGUUGAGGUUGGCGGAAUUGACGGUGUAGCGGUGAAAUGCUUAGAUAUCGUCAAGAACACCGAUAGUGAAGACAGCUAACUAAGCUCUAACUGACGCUGAGGCACGAAAAGUGUGGGGGAUCAAAACAGG